AGAUACCCCACUAUGCUCAGCCGUAAACCUUAAUUUACACCAAAAUCGCCAGGGAACUACGAGCCAUGCUUAAAACCCAAAGGACUUGACGGCACUUCACACCCCACUAGAGGAGCCUGUCCUAUAAUCGAUGAUCCCCGUUCAACCUCACCUCUCCUAGCCCUCUUCAGCCUGUAUACUUCCGUCGCCAGCCCACCUCAUGAGCGCCACUCAGUGGGCUCUUCGCUCAAUUCGCACAAACGUCAGGUCAAGGUGCAGCAAAUGGAGUGGGAAGAGAUGGGCUACAUUCUCUAACCUAGAGCAUACGAAAGACUGCAUAUGAAACCCAGUCCGAAGGCGGAUUUAGAAGUAAAGAGAAAUCAAAGAGCUCUCUUUAAUUUGGUACUGAAGUGUGUACACACCGCCCGUCACCCUCCUCAAAGCAUUAUAGACAGUAACUAACAACUAACAACACAAAAGAGGAGGCAAGUCGUAACA
This 477-nucleotide ribosomal RNA is filed under the name Craugastor polymniae. Its description in RNAcentral is "partial small subunit ribosomal RNA". It matches the Rfam family "Bacterial small subunit ribosomal RNA", at positions 780 to 1493 of the family's 1533-position model. RNAcentral also lists the same sequence under 1 other name. The record is from RNAcentral. Lineage: Eukaryota; Metazoa; Chordata; Amphibia; Anura; Craugastoridae.